GGACGAAUCAGCGGCAGCGGAUGAGAAACGAAAUCGCGCGCAAUUGAACGCGAUCAAACAUAUUUUAUUGUUUUUCGUUUUCAUAACGUCGUGUGUGUGUUUUUUUUUUUUUUUUUUAAACGCAAAUCUCGCGCGCGCCGUUCGUAUUAAAACGUAAUAUAUUUUCCGUGUUCGUAUACCUAUACGUGUAUAUGUAUAUAUGUAUUUAUUACACGGUAAAAGAAAAACGAGUCGUCAAAGGGAUAUCGCCGUGACGUGCGAUACGUGUACAUUUCGUUGUGUACCGUCGCCAGUCAUAUGUCACGCGGACUGCGUGUUAUACGCCGCAGCUGUUACCUAUAUAUUACACUGCAGGUAUAAUACCUAUUAUUAUAAUAUUAUGUACUUUAUUAUUAUUAUUUUUUUUUUUUUUUUUUUUUUUAUAAUGUCCCCGAAAGAAAUCUGACACUGCCUCGUCCGUAUUAUAUUAUUAUGUUGUAAACGAGUCUCGCCUGUAUUAUAUCGUAUGGUAGGUGUAAUGACUACGAGCGGCGUAAUGAUAAAUCGCAAGCGAGAGACGACAAGUGUAUCGGAACCGAACGCAAUAUUUUUAUUUGUGUCAGUCAUUCCGGUCGUCACUCGACAUUCGAGGGGGACGAUUCCGGUAACGGUUUUCCGAAUCGUUUUCGUCCGCCGUGUAAAAUUCGUUUUUUUUACAUUCAACCGCCGCCUUAACGACGAGAAUUUUUCCCGCUAAUCGGCUACUGUCCGAUACCCGUGUGGCCGUGUUUAUAAUUUUAACGUGUACUCAAAUGUACGGAAUGAACUCGGUGAUCGUUAUCCGUCGAGAUUUUAACUGUCGGUGUUUAGACUCGGUCAGUUUUUCGAACCGCCGGGAUUCGGGUAAUGGCAUUUUGACCGUCGGGAUUCGAAAC
Cinara cedri is the source of this 914-nucleotide non-coding RNA. Lineage: Eukaryota; Metazoa; Arthropoda; Insecta; Hemiptera; Aphididae. The record is from the annotation of a GenBank genome assembly.